Olea europaea var. sylvestris is the source of this 1097-nucleotide long non-coding RNA. RefSeq lists it as uncharacterized. NCBI's taxonomy places the organism in Eukaryota, Viridiplantae, Streptophyta, Magnoliopsida, Lamiales, Oleaceae. The transcript is spliced from 2 exons. The record is from RefSeq and is a predicted model, not a curated record.
UUUAUACAAUCGUUUUAGGCCAAUUUUGGUUUUAUCGCUCAACAAAUUUACCCUUUAAAUAAUUUUCAAAAAUCGGCUUUUCUGUCUCCAACCAAUAUUUAUUGGUAAUCCAAUCAAAAAAGGAGAGAAAACAUGGGCGAGCCAGAGUGAAAAAGGAAAUACUUUUCCAAUCGAGAUAUGAAGAUUUUUGGGAAAUAUAUAUAUCCACGGCAGAUCAUACUUUUUGCUUCGGGGGUUUUAUUCUUGGCUUCAACAACGUAUGAUGUUCACAGAUCCAUAAAAAACAACGAAACACCACCCACAGAGGAACAAAUCCAAGCUUUGGAAGAUUAUAUCAGGUCCGUUCGUCGCCCUCCGUAAUCAAGCGCGGAAGAUGAUGGUUGAUAAAAUUAUAUGUAUUCCUUCCGGUCUUCAUUUUUUUUUUUUUUUUGAAGAAGAAGAAUUAUUUUAAAAGGUUUGAACGCGAAGAUAGAGAUAGAGAUAGAGAUAGAGUAGGAUACGUACUCCUACUGGAUAUAUUUUAGCCACGUUGCACUUAAGAAAGUAUGGUAUCUAAGGAAGACGAUCGAGAAAGGAAAUGAGUAGUGUCAUUCUGUUUUUAUUUUCUUUUCUUUUAAUUAGGUGUCUGUCUUUAAUAAUCUUUAAUUAGUUAUUUCCAUUUACGCGUCUCUUAAUCAUAAUUAGUUAUAGUAAACUUAUAGCUUGUUUGAAUUUUAUUCUCGUACCUUAGUUAUUAUAGUUCACUGAUCAAUUAUUUCAUUAAUUAUGUUGACCUCAUUUUUUGUAUGGAUGACGUGGCUAACAGAUCACUAGUCCUCUCGCAUUCAUGUAAAUCUUUUGUCAUGCACAUUUAGACAAAUCGUAAGUCGCACAUGACCUUCUUGGGUGGCGAAGAGGACGGCAACACGAACUUUGACGAUCAAGUCUAUUAAUGUAUAAAUAAAAGGGGUGUGAGACGUGCUAGAGAUGUGAGUCACUAAGUGUUGAGGGGUCGGAUUCUAAAGGGUUUCAAAUGAAUAUGUAGCGAGUAAGUUUAUUGCUUGAAUGUAUAAAAUUGCAUUACCAGUUAAUGACAUAAUUUGUGAGCUUUUAUAUUA